This 452-nucleotide ribosomal RNA is filed under the name Peptostreptococcus stomatis. RNAcentral's name for it is "bacterial SSU rRNA". It matches the Rfam family "Bacterial small subunit ribosomal RNA", at positions 37 to 446 of the family's 1533-position model. Lineage: Bacteria; Bacillati; Bacillota; Clostridia; Peptostreptococcales; Peptostreptococcaceae. The record is from RNAcentral.
GAUGAACGUGGCGGCGUGCCUAACACAUGCAAGUCGAGCGAGGGUUUGCUCAGUAUUGAGUAUUCUAACAACUAGAAUGUUCAAUUCUGAGCAAAACCAAGCGGCGGACGGGUGAGUAACGCGUGGGUAACCUGCCCUAUACACAUGGAUAACAUACCGAAAAGUUUACUAAUAGAUGAUAAUAUAUAUUUGCGGCAUCGCAGAUAUAUCAAAGUGUUAGCGGUAUAGGAUGGACCCGCGUCUGAUUAGCUAGUUGGUGAGAUAACUGCCCACCAAGGCGACGAUCAGUAGCCGACCUGAGAGGGUGAUCGCCCACAUUGGAACUGAGACACGGUCCAAACUCCUACGGGAGGCAGCAGUGGGGAAUAUUGCACAAUGGGCGAAAGCCUGAUGCAGCAACGCCGCGUGAACGAUGAAGGUCUUCGGAUCGUAAAGUUUCUGUUGCAGGGGAA